Peromyscus eremicus (cactus mouse) is the source of this 1080-nucleotide long non-coding RNA. RefSeq lists it as uncharacterized. The record is from RefSeq and is a predicted model, not a curated record. The transcript is spliced from 2 exons. Lineage: Eukaryota; Metazoa; Chordata; Mammalia; Rodentia; Cricetidae.
AAACAGCUGGGGUGGGAACCAGGGCCAGGCUGUAACCCAUUCAGCCAACCAGUCAGCUACCCGCUGCCUUGGUGUAGGCCCUUCCAAAACAGUGCCUCCAGCUGGGAACCAUACCCAGGGACCUGUGGGGGACAUCGCACACCCACGCUGUAACAGUAAGGUUGGAUGUGACAGUUCUGCUGAGAGCUGAAGAGCGUGGGACUCAGUCAGCACUGGGCAGCCAUCAUCCUGCUGCCUGGCACCAACCAGGAUCUCCUGAAGUCUGGUUUCUUUGUCAUUUAAACUGGUCUAAAGCGUUUCUCGAUUCAGUCACUCUCUUUCUGUGGAAAUUUCUCACUGCUUUUACUCAUGGGGACCUGUCAAGGAAAAGUCAUAAACCUGAUGCAGUUGGAUCCAUGCACCUGGGUACACAUUCAGCCCAUGCAGGAUCAGUGUGUUUCUUUUGGAAUAACGGCACUUUGGGGGCCAGGGGUACUAACAUCUAAAUUUAAAAGAUUAUAUGUGUAAUUUAUUCCACCAAGUCCCAGAGGGGCAGACGAUGUAGCUGCUUCCCAGAAUGAUGAAGUAAAUGUGCUAAGAGAUGGAGAUGAUGGAGUGAGAGAAAAUCCUGAGAGUUUCAUUUCUUGGCAGUGGCCCUUUCUAGGACCCAGCUGCCUUCCUGCCUUGGUUUCUAUUAUUUACAAGGUUCAUGUGGGGGUGAACUUCACCGUAUGUGUGGAGGUCAAUGUGCUGGAAUUUGAACUCAGUUCCUCGUGCUGGAGCAGCAAGCUCUUUGCCCACUAAGUCACCUCCCCAGCCCCAUUUGUAAGUUUUGUUAAUCCCUGGAGUCCUGAAACCAGUCUCCCAUUGGAAACUAAGGGACUGUUGUACCUCUACUACAGCCUUUAAUUCUUUACAGCAAUUGGUGCUAAAGACACUUUAAAGUGUAAGCUUUGUUUAAAAAAUGAAUUGAUGCUAAUUAAGAGUGAAGAAUAAAAAAGUGAUUGGGUAAAACAGUUGAAAGCAGAACAUAAUUGGGUACACAUUGUUUAUUCCUGGUUCCUUUACUUCAUUAAAUUGAGAGAAGAAAGAAAAUGUUAA